GGGGACGUAGUUUAACCCGGCUAGAAUAGUCGGCUCCAGACCGUCGGAUCCAGGUUCAAAUCCUGGCGUCCCCA
This 74-nucleotide transfer RNA is filed under the name Candidatus Woesearchaeota archaeon. Its description in RNAcentral is "tRNA-Trp". It matches the Rfam family "tRNA". Rfam says of the family: Transfer RNA (tRNA) molecules are approximately 80 nucleotides in length. Lineage: Archaea; Nanobdellati; Candidatus Woesearchaeota. The record is from RNAcentral.